GGCGGGGACGGUUCGGGAUCGGCCCCCUCGGCCGGGGCCGGGCAGUCCGCCGGUACCACCUCGGCCCCUGCCA
This 73-nucleotide transfer RNA is filed under the name Acidipropionibacterium jensenii. RNAcentral describes it as "tRNA-Pro(cgg)". Lineage: Bacteria; Bacillati; Actinomycetota; Actinomycetes; Propionibacteriales; Propionibacteriaceae. The record is from RNAcentral.